CUAAUCCAGUUUCCACUAUUCAUGAACCGGUUUGGCUGAAAAUUUGGUUGAAAAAAAAACACUACUUGAGGAUAAAAAAGCAUACAAAAAAAGGCAUCAGUUGUCACUCAUAUUCUCUACUUCUUAACCCUAAUUGCCCUCUCUCGCGAUCAUACAAAGAAAAUCGAAAGAAUCUAAGGCAAUUGAGACAUAUACCAGUAAGUAUUAUCUUCCCUACUUCAAUUUCUUUGUCUUCUGUAUGUUGUUUCCAAUUUUUGGAGUUUUAUUGUUGAAUCUACAAUUUCUUUUAAUUUUUUUUGUUCGAUCUUUUAAGAAGUCAAACCCAAAAUACCUAAAGUAUAUUCCUUUGAUGUUCUUGUUGUGUAGUCUUCGUUUAGUUCUUCCUAUUGUGUUGAAAAUUCCAACUAAGCUCAUGUUUGUCGAUUUAUUUGUGUGUUAUGAUUAGUUUGGAAUGAUUUUGGACGGUUUUGGUUAGCUCUUGUUUGUUGAUUUUGUGAAUUUGGUAUUGUUAAGCCUUAAAAACAAUAUUUUUUUUUAACAAUUACAGAUUUCAAUUAUUUUUGUGUAAUAGAUGUAUGAGUAAUUGUAUUCAUAUACAUAUUGGUAUGUAAUUUUUUUUUUUUUGAUGGUUUGGGUUUUAUAUACUGAUAGAAAUCUAAAUUAUUAGCUAUAUAUUCUAACGUCAUAGAAAUAAACCAAGGAAAGCUUACUCUGCCAUGUUAACUAGAGCUCUAAAAGGA
Molecule: long non-coding RNA, 740 nt
Filed under: Olea europaea subsp. europaea
Lineage: Eukaryota; Viridiplantae; Streptophyta; Magnoliopsida; Lamiales; Oleaceae
Source: RNAcentral